Molecule: long non-coding RNA, 493 nt
Organism: Populus euphratica (Euphrates poplar)
Lineage: Eukaryota; Viridiplantae; Streptophyta; Magnoliopsida; Malpighiales; Salicaceae
Exons: 2
Source: RefSeq, a predicted model, not a curated record
AAAGAAGCAAAGCAUCAUUAUUUCGAACCUUUUUCAGAAUUAAACUUCAUAUCAACAAUCCUAGAAAAAGCAAAUUUCCUUUCCAUUCAGAAAGGACAGCUGAUUGGAAGCCACAUAUUUGAAGCAUGUUUAAAUGGGAGAGAUCAUACAAGGACAUGCUUUGGAAAAUAACAGAUUUCAAAGAUGAGACAAUUUUGUUUCUAGAUAUGAGUGAGAAUAAGGUCCCAAAAAGUGAUCACAUUUAGAUAAACAGAUGAUUUUGUGCAUAUGUUUCACGAGGGACCUGUCAGCCUCCAGCCAAAACACCUUGUUACACCAAGGAGAAUGCUAUAAUUACUGCCAGCACCCAUCACCCCAAGUGUUUGCCCCCCCACUUUGGUGACAGUGAGACAGUAACAUUGAUCAUGUCUUUCUGAGGCAGUGCAAUAUACAAUCUAAAACUCGCAAUAUGCAAUCUAAUCCCCCACCAACCCAAACCUUGACAAAAAAAGAA